UACGGAGGGGGCUAGCGUUGCUCGGAAUUACUGGGCGUAAAGGGCGCGUAGGCGGAUUGCAUAGUUGGGCGUGAAAGCCCCGGGCUCAACCUGGGAACUGCGCUCAAUACUCGCAGUCUAGAGUUCCGGAGAGGGUGGUGGAAUUCCCAGUGUAGAGGUGAAAUUCGUAGAUAUUGGGAAGAACACCAGUGGCGAAGGCGGCCACCUGGACGGACACUGACGCUGAGGCGCGAAAGCGUGGGGAGCAAAC
This 250-nucleotide ribosomal RNA is filed under the name uncultured bacterium. RNAcentral describes it as "partial 16S ribosomal RNA". It matches the Rfam family "Bacterial small subunit ribosomal RNA", at positions 524 to 773 of the family's 1533-position model. The record is from RNAcentral.